AUUGAACGCUGGCGGCAGGCCUAACACAUGCAAGUCGAACGAGUGGCGGACGGGUGAGUAAUGACUGGGAAACUGCCUGAAGGAGGGGGAUAACUACUGGAAAAGGUAGCUAAUACCGCAUACCAUCAGAUGUGCCCAGAUGGGAUUAGCUAGUUGGUGGGGUAACGGCUCACAAAGGAGCCGAUCCCUAGCUGGUCUGAGAGGAUGACCAGCCACACUGGAACUGAGACACGGUCCUGACUCCUACGGGAGGCAGCAGUGGGGAAGAUUGCACAAUGGGCUCAAGCCUGAUGCAGCCAUGCCGCGUGUAUGAAGAAGGCCGUCGGGUUGUAAAGUACUUUCAGCGGGGAGGCGUUACCCGCAGAAGAAGCACCGGCUAACUCCGUGCCAGCAGCCUCGGUAAUUC
This 406-nucleotide ribosomal RNA is filed under the name uncultured bacterium. Its description in RNAcentral is "partial 16S ribosomal RNA". It matches the Rfam family "Bacterial small subunit ribosomal RNA", at positions 30 to 526 of the family's 1533-position model. The record is from RNAcentral.